AGGUCCUGCCUGCCCAGUGACUAUGUUAAACGGCCGCGGUAUUUUGACCGUGCAAAGGUAGCGCAAUCACUUGUCUUUUAAAUGAAGACCUGUAUGAAUGGUGGAACGAGGGCCUAACUGUCUCCCUUUUCAAGUCAAUGAAAUUGAUUUAUCCGUGCAGAAGCGGAUAUACAAAUACAAGACGAGAAGACCCUUUGGAGCUUAAGAUUAAAAAUCAACUAUGUCAAAUAUUCACCAAAUAAAACUAAAUAGUAAUUGAUCAUAAUCUUCGGUUGGGGCGACCACGGAAUAAAAAUAAACUUCCACAUGGACUGAGGACUAACCUUAAAACCAAGAAAGACAUUUCUAAGUCACAGAAUUUCUGACCAUACAGAUCCGGCAAAUCGCCGAUCAAUGGACCAAGUUACCCUAGGGAUAACAGCGCAAUCCCCUUUUAGAGUUCUUAUCGACAAGGGGGUUUACGACCUCGAUGUUGGAUCAGGAC
This 484-nucleotide ribosomal RNA is filed under the name Corydoras spilurus (pinkthroat corydoras). RNAcentral describes it as "partial 16S ribosomal RNA". It matches the Rfam family "Bacterial large subunit ribosomal RNA", at positions 1850 to 2543 of the family's 2925-position model. Lineage: Eukaryota; Metazoa; Chordata; Actinopteri; Siluriformes; Callichthyidae. The record is from RNAcentral.